Molecule: long non-coding RNA, 382 nt
Organism: Oncorhynchus tshawytscha (Chinook salmon)
Lineage: Eukaryota; Metazoa; Chordata; Actinopteri; Salmoniformes; Salmonidae
Source: Ensembl
GAUCAUCAGGAGUCAGAUGUGAAGGAGGAGGUUGAUCAUCAGGAGUCAGAUGUGAAGGAGGUUGAUCAUCAGGAGUCAGAUGUGAAGGAGGAGGUUGAUCAUCAUGAGUCAGAUGUGAAGGAUGAGGUUGAUCAUCAGGAGUCAGAUGUGAAGGAGGAGGUUGAUCAUCAGGAGUCAGAUGUGAAGCAGGAGGUUGAUCAUCAGGAGUCAGAUGUGAAGGAGGAGGUUGAUCAUCAGGAGUCAGAUGUGAAGGAGGAGGUUAAUGGCCACAUCAGUGAAUUGUACUUUUUUGAGAAAUGUCCUCUGGUCUGAUGAAACAAAUGUAGAACUGUUUGGCCAUAAUUACCAUCGUUAUGUUUGUAAGAAAAACGGGAGAGGCUUG